This 301-nucleotide ribosomal RNA is filed under the name uncultured bacterium. RNAcentral's name for it is "partial 16S ribosomal RNA". It matches the Rfam family "Bacterial small subunit ribosomal RNA", at positions 509 to 808 of the family's 1533-position model. The record is from RNAcentral.
CAGCCGCCGCGGGAAUACGUAGGUCCCGAGCGUUGUCCGGAUUUAUUGGGCGUAAAGGGAGCGCAGGCGGUUUAGUAAGUCUGAAGUUAAAGGCAUUGGCUCAACCAAUGUAUGCUUUGGAAACUGUUAGACUUGAGUGCAGAAGGGGAGAGUGGAAUUCCAUGUGUAGCGGUGAAAUGCGUAGAUAUAUGGAGGAACACCGGUGGCGAAAGCGGCUCUCUGGUCUGUCACUGACGCUGAGGCUCGAAAGCGUGGGUAGCGAACAGGAUUAGAUACCCCAGUAGUCCCUGUCUCUUAUACA